CCCUUAGAUGUCCGGGGCCGCACGCGCGCUACACUGAAGGAAUCAGCGUGGCUUUCUCCCUGACCCGAAAGGGUUGGGAAACCCGUUGAAUCUCCUUCGUGAUAGGGAUUGGGGCUUGAAAUUGUUCCCCAUGAACGAGGAAUUCCUAGUAAACGCAAGUCAUCAGCUUGCAUUGAUUACGUCCCUGCCCUUUGUACACACCGCCCGUCGCACCUACCGAUUGAAUGACUCGGUGAAAAAUUGGGACCGUGAGUCUGUUUGCUUCAUUGCGAGUGGAUUGAUGGGAACUUUUUUAAACCUCGCCAUUUAGAGGAAGGUGAAGUCGUAACA
Molecule: ribosomal RNA, 330 nt
Filed under: uncultured eukaryote
Lineage: Eukaryota
Description: partial 18S ribosomal RNA
Rfam family: Eukaryotic small subunit ribosomal RNA
Source: RNAcentral